CUACAUCUACGAACUUUUUUCGUCUCACCGCCGCCACCAGCAGGGUCGCCGGACUGUCGCCGGCCAAUUGUCCAACUUCGAUGCCAGAAAUCCACACGCGUGAGGCUCACACGCCCUUCCUUCCCAGCGCGUGAGGUUCAAUCCAAAGCUGCUAUGCUGCCCAUACAACCCUGGCACCGUUCCGGCCAUCCCAUGCCGCUACCCGGUUUCUUGGUAAUUUGGUUGGACUCUCUUGUGUAUACAAUCUUGAGUACCUAACUCUGAUAAACCUUCCUUGCAAAUUUAUCAGAAACUGUGGAGGAGCUAUUUAAGGAGACAACAGCUGCUGAGCUCCUUCCCCCUAAUGAAAUUUAGAGACCCAAGUGCUUCAUGUCUCAUAUUGACACCUCUUCCUCCUCUGGUGUCACAUCUAAUUUUGUGAAGUCAGGUAAUGCUUUCUCUCUUGAUACUAUUUUAUGGAUUAUUGAUUAUAGUGCGAAUAGACACAUGACAGACUCUUCUAAAGAUUUUCUCAAUUAUUUUCCUUCUCUAACGAAAAAUAGUGUCAGAAUUGCUAAUGACUCUUUUACUCCCAUAUUCGGAACCGUUCUGUUAUUUGUGCACCCUGUUAAAUUUGGGCCAGGUCUAACUCACACCAAAAGCUAGCUCAAGGGGUAGGAGUGCCUAUAGCCCAUAGAAGGGGCACAUUACCCCUUUUCACAAGCGAUGUGGGAUUCAACACACCCCCUCACGCUCAGAAUUUUAUUGGUGUGUGACAUAUUUAUAGGAGGCCCAACAUCAGAUGGGGAGGCUCUAAUACCAUGUUAAAUUUGGGUUAGGCCUAACUCACCCCAAAAGCUAGCACAAGGGGGAGGAGUGCCUAUAGCCCAUAUAAGGGGCACAUUACCCAUUUCCACAACCGAUGUGGGAUUCAACACACUCAAUAUUAAAUUGUCAUCUGUCCUCCAUACUCCCCAUUCUCCCAUCAACCUUUUAUAUGUCAAUGCCAUCACCAAUGCUCUUAACUGUAAAAUUGAAAUUUUUUUUUUCUAAUUAUUGUGUUAUUCAGAAUCUUUUCACAAGGAAGAGGAUUGGUAAUGGUAGACUACAUGAUAGCUUAACCAUGUUGGAAGGUGAUGUAAGUUCUCCAAUAUCUCAAGCCUGUUUUGGAGAAAAUAAAGAUGCCAAUUAGAAAAUAAUACAGUGACGCAGACGGUUAGGGCAUACAUCGUUCUUUAGAAAAACUUUAUCCUAAUUUGUUUGCUAGAACUCAGUUUGAUUCUUUAUUUUGUGAUGUUUGCGAGUAUACUAAGCACGCUAGAAUCUCCUAUCCUUUGAGUUAUAAAAAGCCAACUUCCUUUUGUGACUAUUCAUUAUGAUGUUUGGGGGCCUACUCAAACUGUCUCUUUAUAUAGUAAUUAAUGGUUUAUCACUUUUAUUAAUUGUUGCACUCGAAUGACUUGUGUAUAUUUGAUUAAAACUAGAAGUGAUGUCUUUUAUUUUUUUCAAACCUUUCACAAAAUAAUUUGUACUCAAUUUGAUACUAAGGUGAAAAUUUUGAGAAUUGACAAUGGAAGAGAAUAUAUGAAUAUUACAUUUUCUGCUUAUUUGGAGUCCAAUUGAUAGUACACCAAAUAAGUUGUCCUUAUACUAGUGCACAAAAUAGAGUUGCUGAAAGCAAAAACAAGCAUCUAUUGAAGAUAGUUCGAUCUCUUAUGUUCACCAUGAACCUAUCCAAAGCAUAUUGAUAGAUGCAGUCCUUGUAUCUUCUUAUCUUAUCAAUCGUAUGCCCCUUAAAGCCCUAGACUUUGUUAGUCCUUUGGAGGUUCUACAAGGACGGAAUUCAUACAUUGUUUCACCAAAAGUAUUUGCGUAUGUUUGCCUUGUGCAUACUAAAACAGUAGGAAAGUUGGACCCCAAGCCCUUAAAUGUGUGUUUGUUGAGUAUUUUCCGACACUUAAAGGAUACACAUAUUAUCAUCCUCCAUCUAGGAAAUACUUUGUCAGUAUGGAUGUUGAAACUGAACUCCACUUUAGUAACACCGACUCACCUCUUCAAGAGGAGAAUAAUGAGAAAGAAGCGAUGAUCUCGAAUUUUGUGAUUCUGAAUGAUAUGGUUCAAAGGCAAAGUUCUAGCAGACAGAGGGAGACGUCUGAUUCUGAAUGAUAUGGUUUAGAGGCAAAGUUCUAGCAGACAGGGGGAGACAUCUAAUCAGAGGAGAGAAUAGGACAUUUGGACAAGCCAAAUUUGAGGAGGUAUUCGAAGAGAGAGAAGACAGAAGAAGCAAUGAUGCCAGCCUAUUUGGAGUCAAGAAUUUUCUUUUGGCGAGUUACCCUCAAAUCUUGAAUGCUCCAAUAAUUUAGAUAAACCUAUUGUACAAAUAAAAGGUGUCAGCUCUUGUACCAAAUACCCUAUUUCUAACUUUAUUUCUUAUGAAUCUUUGUCUCUCUACUAUAGAGUCUUUGCCUUGUCUAUUUCCUCUGUGUCUAUUCCACGGAAAUGGAAGGAAGCUCUCGCAGAUCUUAAAUGGAAGGGAGCAAUUAUUAAAGUGAUGAAAGCACUAGCAAAAAAUGAGACAUGAGAGCUUGUCUUUCUCCCACCUGGGAAGAGACUUAUUGGCUGUAAGUAGGUACUCACAGUGAAACACAAAGUUGAUGGUACAAUUCAACAGUAUAAAGCCAGAUUGGUUGCUAAAGACUUCACCCAAAUCUAUGGAGUGGAUCAUCAAGAGACAUUUGUCCCAGUUGCAAAAAUAAACUCAAUCAAUCAGAGUGUUGUUAUCUUGUGCAACCAAUUUGGACUGAGACUUACAUCAAACGAAUAAUACAUUCCUCCAUGGAGAUUUAGAGGAAGAGGUGUUCAUUGAGAUUCCUCUUGGGUUUGCUGAUGAGAAGACACAAAGAAAGUUGUGCAAAUUAAAAAAGGCUUUGUAUGGGCUAAAACAAUAUCCCAGAGCUUAGUUUGAUAAGUUUAACAGAGCCAUGAUAUCCUUUGAUUACCAACAGAGCAAUGCUAAUCAUACUCUGUUUAUUAAACAUCACAAGGGUAAUAUCACACUUCUUAUUGUGUAUAUUGAUGAUAUAGUGGUGACAGGUGAUGACAAAAAGAAAAUGGCUUAGCUAAAAAGGUUGUUGGCUCAAGAAUUUGAAAUCAAAGAUCUAGAAAAGUUUCAAUAUUUCCUAGGUAUUGAGGUGGCCAGAUUAGAAAAAGGGAUCUUUAUCUCCCAAAGAAAGUACAUUUUGAAUCUUUUGAAAAAAACUGAUAUAUUGGGGUGUAAACCAACAGAAUCUCCCAUUGAAAGUAAUCACAAGAUGCAAGCAAGAGCUAGUGAGUCUGUGGAUAUUGGAAGCCGGAAAAUGUUCCCAAAAUGGCAUUUCGGAUCCACUUUAGACACUAUGAAUUCCCUGUGAUGCCUUUUGGUCUCACCAACGCCCUAAAAAUGUUCCAAGCAACCAUGAAUGACAUAUUUUGGCCUUCACUCCACCGUUUUGUGUUAGUCUUCUUUGACCACAUACACGUUUAUAGUCGCUUAUAGGAUGAUCACGUGUCCUAUAUGGAUCAAGUUCUUCGACUGUUAUCAUCUAAUCACUUGGUAGCCAACAUGAAGAAAUGCUCAUUUAGAAAGAGGUCUCUCUCUUUCUUAGGACUUUUAAUAUAUGUCGGAGGUGUGUCAAUGGAUCUGGAUAAAAUUGAGCAGUGCUACAGUGACCUGUUCCUAACUUAGGAAAAGAUGCAAGGGGUUUGUUAGGGCCCAUAGGAAAUUAUCGCCAAUUCAUUCAACAUUAUGGUGAAAUUGCACAGCCCCUAACUCAUCUAACAAAUAAGGUAUCCACAAUAUUUUGUUUAGGAUUCUGCUGCGCAAGAAGCAUUUGAAAAGUUGAAGGCUACAAUUGACCAACUCUAGUAUUAUUGAUGCCUGAUUUUCACCAAUCAUUCUAUUGACCAAUAUAGAAUGUUCCUAGUUAGGAGGAUUCAGAUAUUUGAAAUCCUAAUUAGGCUUAAUUAUAGGCUAGAUUAUAGAGAUUUUAUUCUUAUUGUAAAUAUUCUUAAUUUAGAUUGAUUCUUUGUGUAUAAAUACUCAAACCUUGUAAAGAUCAAUUCAAUUGGAAUAGAAUUAAAAAUUCCUCCUAAAAUUCUUCAUGGUAUCAAAGUAUUGCCACUUUAAUUGGCAUAGGUUUCAAAUAUGUCACAAAAAGUUAAGGUUAACUAAUAGGUCAAGCUUCUAGGUGACUAUAUCAAGGGAGUUGUUCGACACCCCCUGUACCGGAAGAAAGCCCAUCAAAUUUGCAGCCGAUACCCCGCGAUGUGACCCUGCUCUGAGCACAUGCGUGUCCUCACACGAUGCCACAGCAUUUCGCGUCUCCUUCCAUGCGCCGGCGUGUGAGCCUUUCUCCGGCGUUCUUUUCUUUCAGCGCUCCUUUCCGGCCCUCUUUCAAGAAUGUCGUGUCUCCGACCGGCCAUUUUCCAUGACUGGAUUCUCCUUUGGAUUUUUCAAGGUGUGUUAACGGUAACUUGAUCAUUACUGCCUCUUUGUGUUACUGGCCCCUUUUACCUUUAAAAUGUCAUAUAAGAAAGGCACUAAUGGAGGUGAAGUAUGUUUUUUGAUACUCCUCCAUAAAUUAUUAAUUCUGGUACAAAUAGACGCAUGACAGGUUCCUCUAAAAGCUUCCUUAAUUACCUUCUGUAUCUACAAAAGGACACAGUUAGAAUAGCCUAUGGUUCUUUUAUUCCUAUCUUCGAAAUCGGAUCAAUUGUUUGUACUUCUAAUAUUAAGCUAUCAUCUAUUCUCCAUGUUCAUCAUUUUCCUGUUAAUCUUUUAUCUGUUAGUACUCUUACCAAAACUCUUAACUGUAGAAUUGAAUUUUUUUCCCUACUAUUGUGUUAUUCAAGACCUUCAAACUAAGAAGAGGAUUAGCUAUGGUAGACUACAGGAUGACAUAUAUGUUGGAAGGAAAUCUGAGUUUGAAAUCACCUCGGGCACUUUUUGAAAGAAAUCAAGUUGUCAACCAGGAAAUCAUAUAGUGGCAUCGACGGUUAGGACAUCCAUCCUUUUUUAUUUUAGAGAAACUUUAUCCUGAUUUAUUUUUCAAGGCUCCAUGUGGUUCUUUAGUUUAGUUUGUGAUACUUGUGAGUAUGCUAAGCAUACAAUAAUCUCGUAUUCCUACAACAACAAUAGAAAUAUGAUCCCUUUUGUGAUCAUCUAUUAUGAUGUUUGGAGACUUACUCAAACGAUCUCAUUAUCUGGUAAUUGUUGAUUUAUUACUUUUAUUGAUUACUGCUCUUGCAUGACUUGGGUUUAUUUGAUAAAGGCAAAAAGAGAUAUGGUUUCUUGCUUUCAAUUUUUUCACAAGAUGAUUUGUACUCAAUUUGAUGCUAAGAUAAAAGUUAUGAGGACUGAUAAUAGUACAGAGUACAUAGAUGGCCAUUUUUCAACUUAUCUGGAGUCUAAUGGGAUGUUGCAUCAAACUAGUAGUCCUUACUCUAGUUAAUAGAAUAAGAAUGGCUCAUCAUGAACCUUCCAAAAACCUAUUAGGAGAUUUGGUCUUAGCCGCAAUUUAUCUCAUUAAUAGAAUGGCUCUCAAAGCUCGUCUUUAAGAGCCUUAGGUGCUAUAAGGGAAAAAUGCUUGUAUUGUUCCACCAAAGAUAUUUGGAUGCACAUAUUUUGUUCAUACUAAGACAAGUAGGAAGCUCAAUUCGAGAGUUCUUAAAUGUGUGUUUGUUGGGUACUCUCCCACACAUCAAGUUACAAGUGUUAUCACCCUCCAUCUAGAAAAUAUUUUGUCACUAUGGAUGUUACAUAUAGAGAGUCUGAACCUUACUUUAGUACUACCCCAUCACCUUAGGGAAAGAACAAUGAGAGAGAAGAGAUGAUUCCUAGUCUUAUAACUCUAGAGGAGACUACUAUACAGAAGGAGACUAUUGGUGAUCAGGAAAAGAUAAUUAGGCAUUUAAAUAAACCAGAUUUAAAGAGAUACUCAAGAAGAGACACAACAAAAGCAGAAAAAGAUAUUGUGCAGCCUACUUAGUGUCAUGAAUCUUCCUCUUCUCCAUCGAGUGAGUCAUCCCUAAAUCUUAAGCCCAUUAAUGAUCUAAAUAAACUAAUUGUCCAAAAAAAAAGGAGUUAGGUAUUGCACAAAGCACUCUAUUUCUAGCUUUCUCUCUUAUGAUUCUUUGUCUCCAUCCUAUAGAACCUUUGCCUUGUCUAUUUUCUCUGUGUUUAUCCCAUAGGGUUAGAAGGAAGCUCUUAAAGAUUUUAAUUGGAAGGGAGCAAUGAUUGAAGAAAUAAAAAUCUUAACUAAAAAUGAGACCUGAGAAUUUAUGUCUCUUCCACUUGGAAAAAAACCAGUUAGCUGCAAAUGGGUGUUCAGUGUGAAACACAAAGCGGAUGGAUCAAUUGAAAAAUUUAAGGUCAAAUUAGUUGCCAAGGGAUACACCCAAACUUAUGGAGUAGAUUACUAGACAUUUGCCCCUGUUGUCAAAAUGAACUAUAUCAGAAUAUUGCUAUCUUACCUACCAAUCUUGACUAGGACUUACAACAAUUUGAUAUGAAAAAUGCAUUUCUCCACGGAGACUUAAAGGAGGAAUUGUAUAUGGAAAUCCCUCCUAGAUUUGCUUAUGAAAAAAUAUAAGAAAAACUGUGCAGAUUUAAAAAAGGCUUUGUGUGGACUGAAGCAGUCACCCAGAGCUUGGUUUGAUCGAUUUAGCAAAUCUAUGAUUUCCUUUAGCUAUCAACAGAGCAAUACUGACCAUACUCUAUUUAUCACACAUCACAAGGGUAAAAUUAUUGUUUUCAUAGUCUAUGUUGAUGAUAUAGUAAUGACAAGAAAUGACACUAAAGAGAGGGCUCAGCUGAAAAAGCUUUUGGGUCGGGAGUUUAAAAUUAAAAAUUUACGAAAACUUUAAUAUUUCAUGGAAAUCAAGGUUGCCAUAUCAAAAAAGAAAAUCUUUAUUUCUUAGAGAAAAUACAUUCUAAAUCUUUUGGAAGAAACUAGUAUGUUAGGCUGCAAACCAGCAGAAACUCCCAUUGAGAGCAAUCACAAGCUACAAGCAAUGAUUGGUGAAUCAGUGGAUAUUGGCAAAUACCAAAGGUUGGUAGGCAUACUAAUUUAUCUUUCGCAUAUUCGACCAGACAUAACAUAUACACUCAGCUUAGUCGGUUUAUGCAUGAUUCUCGUGAGUCCCAUAUGCAAGUUGUUUUUUUGCAUUUUGCGAUGCUUGAAGUCUGCUCCUGAAAAGGUCUCCUAUUCUCUAAACAUAGUCAUCUCCGUGUAUCUAUAUAUUCACAGAUGCAUAUUGGACUGCAUCUCUUAAUGAUAAAAGGUCGACUAGUAGUGGUUACUGCACACUUGUGGGAGGAAACCUUGUCACUUGGAAAAACAAAAAGCAAAGUGUUGCUUGAUCAAGUGCUGAGGCGGAAUAUAAAGCAAUGGCACAAAGUGUUUAUGAACUUUUAUGGUUGUAGAGAUUGUUGGAGAAAUAUUGAAACUGUUGGAGAGGGACAAACUCCUCUUUUAAUGCGACAACAAAGCUGCCUAUUGUUUCUAAGCCUGGUCUUAAAUAUUUUAUCACUUUUGUUGAUGAUUACUCUCGUGUUACCUGGUUGUAUUUGAUGAAGAAUCGUUCAGAAUUGUUUUCCAUCUUUUGAGCCUUUUGUUCUCAAAUUAAAACUCAGUUCAAUGUUCCUGUGUGGCUAUUAUGCAGUGACAAUGCCAAAGAAUAUUUUUCAAAGAACUUUCAAACCUUCAUGAACCCAAAAUAGAAUGUUUCAUUAGUCUUCUUGUAUCGAUAAACUAUCUCAAAAUGGUGAUACCGAAAGAAAAAACGGCAUCUUAAUUAAGGAAUAAUUAGAGGGUAUCAACUAUCUAGUGUUUUAUCUUGUAAUUGGGAGCUGGAACUUUUCCUGCUCGAGGGAGAAUUAUCUCCUGAACUUGUUUGGCUGUUUAUCCUUUUUAACACAACUCCUCCUUCCUUCUUGUUGGUUCUUGUGUGAUAUUACUGGUAAAAUUCCUUUUCUCUAACAGUACUCAUGUCUCCAAUUAUUAUAAGCAUGCUUACAUGAGAUUCCUUUAAACAAUCAAAUUUCCUUCCUGAACUAUAACCCAUGUUUGCUCAAGAGUGUUGACCAGCUUGAAAGCUCCUACUAACUAACAUUUUUUGCACCUUCCAAAACAAUAACCUACUUGAGUGCAGCAACAAUAAAAUAAUUUCUAGAAGGCUUGCCUAGUAAUCCAAGCUAACUUUUUAUUUAUAAUACAGAGAUCAUGUACAAAUAGAAGAAUACCUGCACAGCAGCAGCUGUUUCCAGUGCAAUAGUUUGACUGACAGAAUGGUUGCUCUCAAAAAAUUUGAUAAUCUCAUGAAUGGCAUCCUUCAAGUACUGGUCAAUAACAUUAAUCAGUAAACAAACACAACAAAAGUGUAAGCUUAUCAUCUUAUGAGAAAUAGAGAGUAGCAGCAUACGGUCAUGUAACAUGGAGAAGCUUUGACAACCAUGCUCCAGUCCACCUUAGCAUCAAAAGGCUUAUAACAGAAGGCACCAAUUAGAGAGUCCAAAGCAGUUGCACUCUGCAGGGAGAAGGGCCAAAUGAUUUUGGGUAACAUACUAAUGUCAAGGAACAAAUAAUUAGCUUUUAUGGCUUUGUAACAAGGAGGACCCCAACCUGGGCGAGAAGACCGUUUGGUGAUGAUAACUGAUAGGACCCCAGUUUCAUGUCAAAAACCUUUGUUUCUGGGUAAAGCUUAAUGGAGCAAUCAAAACCAUCACAAGAUAAUUCAGCAAGACACUUGUGGUCCUCAACAAGCUUUGAAGCAUUAUGUUGCAUGUGAACCUCCAAAUAAGUAUGAAGAGCAUCCAUCUUCUCAUUGAAUAUUACUGACUGCCCAUCAUCACCUUCCUUAUAACCUAUCAGUUUGUUAAGUUGAUCCCAGUCCUCAUCACUGAAACGAAAUUGUUCGCUUUCAUCUUUGAAAGAUUGACUGCUCCUGAAAAAGUAGACAGAGACAGAAAAUAUUACAAAUUUUACCGCAUUGCCAAUUAAAUAAAGAUCAGCUUCAAAGGAUUUUCUCAAGGAAAAGAAUAUAUAUCACCAUCCAAAUGACCACCAUGAUUUCUUUGCUUUCUGUUUCAUCGAGUCAAGUUCUGAUUCCAUUGACCGCUCCACAAACUUGUGAGCCAACAUCCUGCACAAUAUCAGGAAUCAGGAUAGCAUAAAAAUAGUCCAAUGCCAAAAAAACAAAAAACAAAAAAAACAAAAAAGAAGAGAUCUGCAGACCUAUCAUGAACAGUUGACCAUAUAACUCAUAGUAUAGGAACCAUAAGUACAUAUAGAUGCAAGCACGCACAUAUAUGGGAAUUUCAAGGCAAGGGAUAAAGUGAUGGAAUCAAACAACAGUCGUAUAACAGGAUUUUUGGGGGGGGCAUUUCCCAUGACACUGUUAUUUAAAGGCUGCCUAACAACUGUAGGUGUAACUGUAAUGGUUGUUAUGGCCUUUACAUGUAAUUCACUUUCACCCCCUUAAAAUCACAUGCCAAACAGAAGUGUUCUGCAUUCCUACGACCUCCAACAGUUUUACAGCUCUUUUUUUCAGGAUAUCUCUUUCUUUUCACUCAAAUAACACAUUCUUCCUGCAUCUUUCUCCCCAUACGCUAAGAUUUAUCAUAAACUACCUCCAUUUCAUAGUUCUUUCUUCUAAAAGUGAGUUUAUUUUUCCCUUUUUUGCUUUUAUUUUUUAUUAUUUGCUGUCUUUUGCUUUUUUUGUUGAUUAAAAUUCAUGUUGAUGUCAGAUAGAAAUGAAAGAAAAUUUAAUGAUGUUUAAGUUAUAUAGUCUUUAUUGGAUGUAUGUAUGCAUUAUUAGUCAUGUAUGCCUAUUAUAUAGUCAUGUACAUUACUUUAUUUUUCCCUUUUUCGCUUUUAUUUUUUAUUAUUUGCUGUCUUUUGCUUUUUUUGUUGAUUAAAAUUCAUGUUGAUGUCAGAUAGAAAUGAAAGAAAAUUUAAUGAUGUUUAAGUUAUAUAGUCUUUAUUGGAUGUAUGUAUCCAUUAUUAGUCAUGUAUGCCUAUUAUAUAGUCAUGUACAUUACUUUAUUUUUCCCUAAUUUAAUGAUGUUUAAGUUAUAUAGUCUUUAUUGGAUGUAUGUAUUCAUUAUUCGUCAUGUAUGCCUAUUAUAUAGUCAUGUACAUUACUCUUAUCAAAUCAAUUCAUUUCAUGAACUUUGCAAAUUGUUUUGAAAAAUUUGGGUAGCAGCAGGCAUUGCCUUUAUGUUACAGCUGGCAUAGGCCUGUUUCCAUAGACGCAUUUAAAACAAUGCGAGUCUCUAGAGGCCUAUGCAUGUAUAUUUGUCAUUUCCUCUUGGCUGUAACAGAUUUUCUCCUACCAUAAAAGAACCUUAUACAGAAAUUAGGUUAAUGAUUUUGGAAGUAUACUAUUCACAGUAUCUGAUAAUUUAUAAUUUCACUGGAAUGAACUCAGCUGGAGUCUCUAGAGUCUUAGUUUUGUGUAUUAAAGAACCUUAGUAAUUCUAGCAGUUAGUUUUAGCUGUUUAUUUGGAACCCAAGUCCUUCUAAGGAUCAAGAUUAGGGAUUCAAGUAUUUGUUGUACAGGAUUACUUCCAGUCCAGAAAUUAUUAAGCUUAAUGCUUUUUGAAGUUUUACGGUGAAUAAAAUUCACGCAAUUUAUGCUUUUGUUUCUGAGUUCCGUGAUGCAAUUCUAAUCCCAGAAAGUGUGAUGCUUUCUUAAUUGGAGUGGGUUCAAGAUUCAACCAGUGUGAGGCUAGUAGUAGUUUUUUGUUUGCCCUUUCUUCUGUUUUCUGCAAAAAUCAGAUCUGCCACCAGUCUUCUAAUCCUUUUUUGAGUUCUAUAAACUUUAAAUAUAAACCAGUCUUUCAAUCCUUUUUUUGAGUUCUCCAAACCUCAAAUCUAAUUUUCAAACACAAAAGUUUUCCCUAGUCAUCGUAAAACAAGUUAUUUCAUAAAUUAAAGGAAAAAUAACUCAGAGCACAAAAUUAACUCUGGCUAAAAGUUCAACAACAAAUAACAGUAAAUAAAAUAAAAUAAUAAUAGACACUGAACUGGUAAGUGUCCGAAAAAAUGUGCAUCACUUCUAGCUCCGACAGAUAACCACUAUACGCCUUGGACAGGAAUAUUCAGAAGCUAGUAUCUUAAAUAAUAUUUGCACAAGUGAAACUAGCAAAGUGCGUGCACAUACAUGCAUAUGAGAGCAAAAGUUUUCCAUGUUUGUCCCAGUAAAACAGUGCAGUUUAUAUAACAGAGCUUUUCUCUUUCCCUUUCCACAUUAUCAGAAUCUUAAAUAAUACUCCUGCAACUUCCACUUCCGCUGAACAAUUUUACUCGUCCACUUGCUUAACAAUGAGCAUGCACUACACAAAAUGACAAUAAUAAUAUAUCUUGCACACUUGUCAAUACCUCCACUGUAGUAUGAGUUCAAUGUCAAGUUCACGGUCCAGCUCCUCAAUUUCUUUGUUGUCAUCUAUUAUUGCCCGCUUUGGGUCAGACUUCAGCAGAGAAGCAUAUAGAGAGAUAUAUCUCUUACGUAAACUUGCAUAUCUUAGUACCUGCUCCCAGGAUAACUUCCCACUGCCACAAAUAUCAUUUCCUUAGCAACAGAAGCAAAUCAAAACCUAAAACAAGUUAUGUGGGGAAAAAAUAAAAUACAAGUACUACAAUCCCAGAACCAAUUGCAACCACCCAACCUAAAACAGAAAGUAAUAAGCCAUUGCCAAAAAUUAUCUUGAGAAAUAAAGACAAAUAGCAUUUUCUUUUUUCUUUUAUUUUUCUUUUGUGGCUUCAGCAACUUCCAUUCACACUGAAGCAGAUUGUUCAUAAACAAAGCAUCAUAAACAUUCAGGGAUUACACUUAUUUAUGCAGGGAAUAACAUUCAGGGAAUAUGAAUGGAUUUAUACUCCCUGUUUUGAGUAACAUUUCAAAGAUCAUGUACCGGAUCUGAGCACUUUUGCAUUUCAGUUUACCUCUAUAAGAAAUGGACUAGUCUAACUCAACCUUAAAAGCUAGUUCAAGCAGGAAGGAUUGCCCAAGUCUUUAUAUUUAUCUCAAUUUAUUUAUCCCAAACUGAUGUUGAACAACACAUCCCCUCAUGUCUAGACAUGAACAUUUAAAGUGUGAAGUUUACAAGAACGAACAUCUGCAAGUGGUCUAACAACAAAUCAAGAGUAGACAUUAAUAUCAUGUAGAGAAAUUAAUUUAGUGAGCCUAACCCAAUCCCAAAAACUAGUCAAAGGGAAGACUGCCCAAGUCUUUAUAUUUAGCACAAUUUCCUUAUCCCAAACCUAUUGGGAACAACAACCUCCAUGCGCUUUAAAUAAAUUUUUUAUUUUUGUCAAAAACAUGAAUGCAUGUUGUUAUAGGUUAUAGGAAGUAAAUUUUGAUAGAUAUAUCAGUUGUUUAAUCUUAGGGAGUGUAUGAUCAUAGACUUGAUUUUCCUUUUUGUUUAGUUACUGACUCUCAUGUAUAAAUAAGUUAAAAAUUUUGUAAUAUUGUAAUAUACAACAACAACAAAUAUUAUCUUUCUACAUGAUAUCAGAGCUUCACCCAUAAAGAUUUAAAAAUUUUUUGGAGACUUAGGACUCUAUUCAUUUGGGUUACCCAUAUAGAGUAACAUUUGGAUCUCACAGCCCCCCUGGGAAGGACGCCGAAGCGCCGGCGAAGCUUCCCUAAAGAGCCGACGGGCGUUCGGCUAGCGAGUGGGCCUCACGCGCCGGCGUGUGAAGGCGCAUCCCUGCUCCGUCGCUGCUCCGGUCACCAUUGACAGAGUCGCCACAACGUCCCCUUGUCAGACAUAGUUUGGCAGGUCCAAUGAGGUAGUCCAACAGUAUGGAAUGAAGACGAGUAAGUGUGAUCACUCAAUGUUUUAUAGAAAUUCUGAUAGUGGAGUAAUUCUGCUUGUAGUAUAUGUGGAUGAUAUCGUUAUCACAGGAAGUGACGUUGCUAGUAUCACAUCCCUAAAAGAAUUUCUUAAAACACAGUUUCAUACAAAGGAUUUGGGCUCCUUGAAAUAUUUCUUGAGAAUCGAAGUUAUGCGGUAUAAGAAAGGCAUCUUCUUAUCUUAAAGAAAAUAUGUCCUUGAUUUAUUGGCAGAAACAGGAAAAUUGGGUGCUAAGCCUUGUAGUGCUCCAAUGUCCCCUAACCUUCAACUUACCACAAAAGACAUUGAGUCAUUUGCAAAUCCUGAAAGGUACAGAAAAUUAGUUGGCAAGCUGAAUUCUUUGUUACCUUAAAGGGCCCCAGGGUAAGGUCUAUUCUAUAGUAACCAUGGGCACUCAAAUAUUAAAUGUUUUUCUGAUGCUAAUUAGGCAGGUUCGAAGGUUGAUAGGAAGUCAACUACUGGAUAUUGUAUUUUUGUGGGAGGUAACCUGGUCUCAUGGAAAAGUAAGAAGUAAAAUGUGGUCUCCCGUUCUAGUGCCGAAUCCGAAUAUCGAGCCAUGGCACAAGCCGUUUGUGAAGUCUUGUGAGUACGUCAACUAUUGGAAGAAGUUGGCUUCACAAAUUCGGUGCCUGCUAAGUUGUGGUGUGAUAAUCAAGCAACUAUCCACAUUGCCUCCAAUCCAGUAUUUCAUGAUAGGACUAAACACAUUGAGAUUGAUUGUCAUUUUGUUCGUGAGAAGGUCCAACAAAAGAUAAUAUCAACAGGAUAUAUCCAAAUUGGAGAAACAACUAGAAAAUAUCUUCACUAAAGCUCUAAAUGGGACUUGAGUAGAUUAUAUAUGUAAUAAGUUGGGCAUAAUUAACAUCUAUACUCCAACUUGAGGGAGAGUGUUAUAGGUUAUAGGAAGUAAAUAUUGAUAGAUGUGUCAGUUGCUUAAUCUUAGAGAUUGUAUGAUCAUAGACUUGAUUUUCCUUCCUGUUUAGAUACAGUCUUUCAUGUAUAAAUAGGUUGUAAUCUCUAUUGUAAUAUACAACAACAAAUAUUAUCUUUCUAUACAUGUUAACCAAACAGUCCAAAACUGAGCAAAUAAAACACAGCAAACUGAGUGACAAAACUCAUACACACAGAGUCAGACACAUCUCUAAAUAAUACUGAUGAACACAUUGAGUCAUGGACACAAGUCUCCGGACAAAUAUCAGCAUACACAUCUAACUGCAACUAAAUCAAGACAAAGAUAAGGUAGCUGCGCCUUAAAUAAAUUUUGUGCGAAGAAGAAUAUAAUUGAGAAGCACUUUUUUUUUGUUGCAAUAUCCAAAGCUUAUACAUAUACCACCAAUAAGCGAACCUGAUAAUUCAUGUCAACUGUCAAGUGAUUUCUAGGAUAUCUUCCUUGCAACCAGGGGUGACCAGUAUUCAGUUCAAACCGAAAAAAUCGACCGAACCGAAUUAAUUUGAAAAUUCAGUUCGGUUUUUUAUUUAUUUCGGUUUAGUUUAAUUUUUAAUUUUAAAAUUUUCGAUUAUUUCAGUUCGGUUCGGUUUUGAUCUGAAAAAAUUGAAAAAACCAAACCGAACCGAUUAGUGAUAAUAAUAUAUUAUUUUCAAUAAUUUAGAGAGAUUAGAUCAUAUUAAGGUUAAAAUAGUUCAAUUAAAUUUUAAAAUACUAAAAAUAAAGUAUAAAAAAUAAAAAAUUUAUUAAAAAUUUAAACCUAUCAAACCCAACCGAAUCGAACCGGUUCGGUUCGAUUCGGUUUCUGACCAAAAUCGAUUCGGUUUUUAUAAAUAUUAAAAUUUUGGUUUUUGAUUUAUUCGGUUCGGAUCGGUUUUGAACCGAACCGACCGAAUGCUCACCCCUACACCAUCCACCCACAAAAAAUAAGAAGAGAACAGGUCAACACAAUUAUUUUCUCCAAGCCAUGGCUUCUGUUUCUUUAGUAUCAUCCAAACUCCAAAGCUUAUCCAAAAACAGGCACAUAAAGGCAAACUCCAUAACUCACCCCAGUGAUUUCUAGGGCAUCAACCUCCAGUACCAUUCACCCACCACAAAUAAGAAGAAAACAAUCCAACACCAUUUUUUUAUAACCAAAAUCAUCAUCUGUGAGUACUAUGAAUAAGCUUAAGUUUAACUUUUUAAUUUCAUUGCCAUGCAACGGGAUGCAAUAAGGGCUUGGUGUCAUUAUGUUAAUAAAGAGUGGGUCGGAGGAAUUUUAACGAGGUCCACCACAUAAACUAGACUUCCUAGUAUCAUAUUUAUUCAGAUAUAAAAAGUUAUAAGAAUGUAUGAUAAAGCUUUUAUCUUAUCAUUAGCAACGCAUCAAAAACCAGCGUCAAAAAAUUGCAUGAUACUUUCAAAUAUCAUGUUACUAAGUAGAAGGCUAAAGAAUAGUUCAUCGCAUAACCCAAUUUAUGUUGUUAGUUAAUCAUUUUCUCAAAAAACCUCACUUUAAACCUACUCUGCAAUACUGAGCAAAAGAUAGGAUUAAUAAUUUAGGAGGUUAAUGUGGUCUAAAAACAAAAGCUCCUAAUCUGAUGCCAUGUUAAACAAUCACCUAAAUCCAAACGUAUAAGUUGCCAAAUUGCAGGAACAUUACUUAUUAUUCAUGAUAUUCAUACACACUGCAUAUAACAAUUUUCCAUAUCACUUUCAUCCAUAAAAAUACUCCAGUGAUUUUUUAACCGCAUGCACAUGAUGAAACUUGUACUAUAGAACAAAACAACUCAUGCUUUGCUCUCAAACAAGUAGGAAGAGAAGAUUUCCACCAUCUGACAUCAUAUGCAAAACCUCAGUGACUAUCCCAAGAAAGGUCACCUAAAUUUGUCACAUAUCUAUACCUAUUUUCGCAGUGUCAAAGCAAGAAUCAAAAUCUUCAUAUUGUGAAUCUGGAAUCAAAACUGAAUCAUAAGAUUCUAUAAAAGUUCUCAAAAGUAAUUAAAAUAAUUUAUAUUCUAAAAAAUAAUUAAAAAAUCAUAACAACAUGUUUUGAUAAAUGUAAAAAUAUCAAUACGCUAAUUAGACUAUGUUUUAUAAUAGAACAGUAUAUUCUUGUCAUGUUAAAUGGCUUUAUUGUUAUACAUUAUGAAAUUUUGGAUUGUAGAUGUUGAUUAUCAUUUUACAUAUGCAGAAACUCCCACUUAACUAUGAUCAAAUAAUUAAAUAAUAACAGAAAAAGAAUAGCAGGACACAUUAAACCACCAGCAAAUAUUAAUAAAAAUAUCAAAAUUUGACAAAUAUAACUAACAAAGAAAAUUCACAAAAAAAAGGAAAAAAAAAAGGGGGAUAGAGAAAAGAUUCGCACCAAUGGAAGAAAAAUAGCCAAGGGAAAGUUUAUAUUCACUUUUAAUAGCAAAAAAGAAACGAAAUACUAAAAUUAUAAAGCUAUAAAGUCCAACAAUCUUCUAGAGAAGAACUGACAGAAUCAGGUGAAGAAUCAACCUCACCUAUUAACUAUCAAUUUUUUUGAUUUAGUCACAAUUCAGGAACAUUUUUUAUUUACUCUAGAUCCAAAUCACUAGAAUGGGGAAUCAAAUCAACAACCAUACAAUUUGACUCAAAAAUCGUAAGAUUCAGGCAUAUUUAAGAUUUCCCCCACAAAUUUGAAUUGCUACGGUGAAGAAUUGAAUCAGAAGACUGUAACUAAUAAUAGUGCCUAUGUCUGCUGCAAUAACUUCUAGUGAUUUCAAUAUUUUUAUUCAGAAAGAAAAGAAUUACUAUUUCAAUACCUUGCCUUCUUCAAUUGGUCAGAGACAACUCUGUAUGCAUAAUUCCACCACAACCGUGUAUUAUAUUUUACUGGCACCAAAGGACGAUAAUGAGCAUAUUUUAAGCGUUGAUUAAAUGCAGCAAAAUUGUCAGCUAAUUUUAAAAUAUCCCUGUAUCCAUCCUGCAAAACAAAGAGAUAACUUAAUGAAAAACCUCAUGAUCCUACUGCUCUCAGAGCAAAAGCAAACAUGAUGCAGAAGACCAGUGAAGACCUUUGACAAACAGAGUGUCACAUCAUCCAAGUUCACUUCUGCUUUCUGGAGAGGCUGGCCUCCAUUAACAGAUUCAUUCGACCUCAACUUUGAGUACUUAGCAUUUCCAGUCACUGGUUGCAGAAUGUAUGAGUGCUUUUUCAUUAUAGAAUCUGACGGUUUACCAUCUUUUGUACCAAACCUAAAAACCUGAAGUUCCAUGGAAACUUGAAAAUAAAUAUCAUUUACGGAGCCAAGAUAAACAUAAAGCAAAACCAAAUAGUUCCUAAAACUAAUGUAACAAAAAUACUGAAAAUAUGAUACCUGAACCCACUCAGAAGGACGCAAGUUCUCCCAUGGUUUGCUAAUAUACCAUGGUGAUAUAUCAGAAUCCAGAUAAAUAGCAAGUUGAUCAAGUUCAACAGACUGAAAAAGAGCAGAACACAGAAAAUUACCCAAAACAGUGGUAACACACAAUCCAACACUGAAAUCAUUAAUCCAGUGUAAGGGGACAGUGACAAAGAAAACCUUGAUGCUAUUUCCAGGACAAGAUUCAUCCCACAAGCAAGCACAGAUCCUCUAAAGUUUAAAGUAUUAAGAACACUGAACACAGUAAGUUGCAAUCGCUAUCAGCCCUCAUCUAAACAUUUUGCAACAUGAAGAAUUUUAGAGUAUUUUUGUAUUUUCCUCUUAAUCUUUACAAGUGAUUUAUAUGACUAUUUACAUACAAAGAAUUAUGACUAAAAAAAAAAAAGCAAAUAAUUAAAUAAUUACAAAAAUAAUUAAGGAUCUUAAUUUAGGCCUAGAAUCAAUAAUCAAAUUAAAUUAUAUCAGUAGAAAUCAGCAAAUAAGUCAACACUCCUCCUCAAGUUGGUGAACAGAAUCAAAUUAUAAUAGGUUCUAUUAUUGAGCCAUUUAGUAAAUACAUCCGCAAACUGCUCAAGACACAGUCUAUUAUUUUUUCUUCAAUGAAGUGUUGAUCGAUCACAAUGUUCUUCAUUCGGUGAUAUUGAACUGGAUUUUGUUCUAUACUUAUGGCAGCUUUGUUGUCACAAUACAAAAUUAUCUUGUCUCUCUCGAGUAAUCUCAGCUCUUCCAAUAACUUUUGCAACAACAAAAGUUUACACACGCCUUGAGCCACUACUAUGCAUUCUGCUUCACCACUUUACCGAGCAACACUUCUUUAUUUUUUGGCCCUCCAGCUGACAAAAUUCCCUUCCACAACCGUGCAGUAUGCAGAGAUUGAUCUCCUAUCAUUGAGAGAUCUACACAAUCUACAUCUGUAAAAGUUUCAACUCAGAGAUGAUCAUGGUUGGCGUAAAGAAGUCAUUUUCCUGAUGCAGACUUUAGAUACUUCAAGAUGCGAAAGACAGCCUGCAUAUGAGUCUCAGGGUCAAGCAUGAAUUGGCUGGCUGACUAAGCUAACAGCAUAGACUAUAUUCGGUCGAGUGUGUGAGAGAUAAAUCAACCUCCCUGUCAAUCUUUGGUAUCUUCCAAUAUCCACAGACUCACUUGUAUCUUGUGAUUACUUUCAAUGAGAAAUUCUAUUUGUUUACACCCCAACACAACAAUUUCUUCCAAAAGAUUUAGAAUGAACUUUUUGGGGAGAUAAAAGAUCUCUUUUUCUGAUCUAGUCACCUCAAUACCUAAAAAAUAUUGAAACUUUCCCAUAUUUUUUAUUUUAAAUUCUUGAGCCAACAACCUUUUUAGUUGAGUCAUUUCCUCUUUAUCAUCACCUGUCACCACUAUAUCAUCAACAUACACUAUAAGAAGAGUGGUCUUAUACACAGAGUAUGAUCAACAUUGCUCUGUUGGUAACCAAAGGACAUCAUGGCUCUACUAAACCUAUCAAACCAAGCUCUGGGAGAUUUUUAUAGCCCAUAUAAAGCCUUUUUUAAUUUGCACAUCUUUCCUUGUGUCUUCUCAUCAGCAAAACCAGGAAGGAUCUCCAUGAACACCUUUUCAUCUAAAUCUCUAUAAGGGCCGCAUCUCCUCAAUAUGCUUUGGGUAGGUUCAUGGUAAACAAAAGAGAUCGAGCUACCUCCAAUAGAUACUUAUUUUUCCUUUCAGCAACCACAUUUUGUGCAUUAGUAUAAGACCAACUUGUCUAGUGUACUAUCCCAUUGACUCUUUAUAAGCAGAAAACCUACUAUCCAUAUAUUCUCUUCCAUUGUCAGUUCUCAAAAUUUUCACCUUAGUAUCAAAUUGAGUACAAAUCAUCUUGUGAAAAGAUUGAAAAUAAGAAAAAACAACACUUUUAACUUUAAUCAAAUACACCUAAAUCAUUCGAGUGCAACAAUCAAUAAAAGUGACAAACCAUUGAUUACCAGAUAAGGAGACAGUUUGAGUAGGCCUCCAAAUAUCAGAAUGAAUAGUCACAAAAAGAAUUUGACUUUUAUUAUCACUCAACGGAUAGGAGGUUCUAUUGUGCUUAGCAUACUCACAAGCAUCAUAAAAUAAAGAACCAAAUUGAGUUCUAGCAAACAAACUAGGAUAAAGUUUUUCUAAGAUAAAAAACAAUGAACGCCCUUACCGUCUGUGCUAUAUGUCUAUUCGCACCAGAAUCAAUAAUCCAUGAGCCAGUAUCAAGAGAGAAAGCAUUACCUAACUUCACAAAAUUAUAUGUGGCACCAAAAGCGGAAGAGGUGUCAAUAUGAGACAGGAGGCGCUUGAAAUUGUAAAUUUCAGCUGUUGUUCUCUUUAAAGGGCUCCUCCACAGUUUCUAAUAAAUUAGUGUGAACUCUAGAGGUACCUCGUUUCCCCCCAUAGCCCCUAGUAGGAUGACCAUAUAACUUUCAACAAGUCUCCUUAGCAUGCCUCGGUUUCCCAUAAUAGUCACGAUGCAAGUGAACUUUCUCAAAAUUAGGAGGCUGCAGUGUGCUCAAACUUGUAGCCAACCCAGCCACUUCAACUGGUACAGUAUAAAGCAUCGCAUGCCGGUGUUUGGGUCAGGCCUAACUCACCCCAAAAGCUAGCUCAAGAGGGAGGAGUGCCUAUAGCCCAUAUAAGGGGCACAUUACCCCUUUCCACAAUCGAUGUGGGAUUCAACACACCCCCACGCCCAGAAUUUUUACUGGUGCGUGGCACAUUUAUGGGGCACCCAACAUCGGAUGGAGAGGCUCUGAUACCAUGUUAAAUUUGGGUCAGGCCUAACUCACCCCAAAAGCUAGCUCAAGAGGGAGGAGUGCGUAUAGCCCAUAUAAGGGGCACAUUACCCCUUUCCACAAUCGAUGUGGGAUUCAACA
RNAcentral lists this long non-coding RNA (20070 nucleotides) under Manihot esculenta (cassava). Its description in RNAcentral is "long non-coding RNA (MESC_LNC010158)". Lineage: Eukaryota; Viridiplantae; Streptophyta; Magnoliopsida; Malpighiales; Euphorbiaceae. The record is from RNAcentral.